CCGACGUUUGCCAUAACCUGAAAUUGCUCAGGAAUCUUCUUGGAGACAAACAAGAGUUAACAUUCAAUGGUACAGAAAAGGUCAAGUGGAAGCAUAUCAAGAACUCCUAUGAAAUCCAGCAGCGUGAAGGAAUGAGGGCUGCAAAUAGGCUAACAGGAGACCACAUUGACUACUCAAAAGCAAAAAUGAAGGUUAAAUAUGCAGCCCAGGUUUUUAGUAGCUCAGUAGCUGCUACAGUUGACAUCUUAAGGCAACUGCACUUUGAAGGAUUUGAAGAUUCGGAAAGCAGUGCCUAUUUCCUACGACAGAU
Molecule: long non-coding RNA, 310 nt
Filed under: Strongylocentrotus purpuratus (purple sea urchin)
Lineage: Eukaryota; Metazoa; Echinodermata; Echinoidea; Camarodonta; Strongylocentrotidae
Description: uncharacterized LOC115921043
Source: RNAcentral